UGAGGAAUAUUGCGCAAUAGCCGCAAGGCUGACGCAGCAACGCCGCGUGGGUGAUGAAGGCCUUCGGGUCGUAAAGCCCUGUCAGGUGGGAAGAAAGGCCUGGAGAGGAAAGGUUUCAGGUUUGACGGUACCACCAGAGGAAGCACCGGCUAACUCCGUGCCAGCAGCCGCGGUAAUACGGAGGGUGCGAGCGUUAUUCGGAAUUACUGGGCGUAAAGCGCGUGUAGGCGGGGAGACAAGUCUGAUGUGAAAGCCCUGGGCUUAACCUGGGAAGUGCAUUGGAAACUGUUUUUCUUGAGUACUGGAGAGGAAGGGGGAAUUCCCGGUGUAGAGGUGAAAUUCGUAGAGAUCGGGAGGAAUACCAGUGGCGUAGGCGCCCUUCUGGACGGUAACUGACGCUGAGACGCGAAAGCGUGGGGAGCAAACAG
This 428-nucleotide ribosomal RNA is filed under the name uncultured bacterium. RNAcentral's name for it is "bacterial SSU rRNA". It matches the Rfam family "Bacterial small subunit ribosomal RNA", at positions 355 to 775 of the family's 1533-position model. The record is from RNAcentral.